GACGAACGCUGGCGGCGUGCUUAACACAUGCAAGUCGAACGGAAAGGCCUGCUUUCCCUUGUGGAUUGCGGGUACUCGAGUGGCGAACGGGUGAGUAACACGUGAGUUAUCUGCCCCCAACUUUGGUAUAAGCCUGGGAAACUGGGUCUAAUUCCCGAUAGGACUGCAGGGUGGUGCCUGUGGUGGAAAACGAUUUUCUAGUGGUUGGGGAUGAGCUCGCGGCCUAUCAGCUUGUUGGUGGGGUAAUGGCCUACCAAGGCGGCGACGGGUAGCCGGCCUGAGAGGGUGACGUGAAACAUGGGGAAUGAGAUAAGGGCCGGAAGGCGAAGGGGGGAAGAAGUGGGGAAUAUGGGACAAUGGGAGGAAGACGGAGGGAGCAAGGCAGAGUGAGGGAUGAAGGACGUAGGGUGGGAAACAGGUAGCGCCUGUGAAGAAGCGGGAGUGAAGGUAAUGGGUAAAGAAGAACCGGCUAACUACGUG
This 480-nucleotide ribosomal RNA is filed under the name uncultured bacterium. RNAcentral describes it as "partial 16S ribosomal RNA". It matches the Rfam family "Bacterial small subunit ribosomal RNA", at positions 28 to 507 of the family's 1533-position model. The record is from RNAcentral.